GACAGAGGUGCCGAGCGUUAGGCGGAAUCACUGGGCUUAAAGCGUGUGUAGGCGGGCCGUUAAGUAUCUUGUGAAAUCCCCCGGCUCAACCGGGGAAUGGCUGGAUAUACUGGCGGUCUUGAGCGAUCUAGGGGCAGAUGGAACAAGUGGUGGAGCGGUGAAAUGCGUAGAUAUCACUUGGAACGCCAAAGGUGAAGACAGUCUGCUGGGGAUCUGCUGACGCUGAGACACGAAAGCCAGGGGAGCGAACGGG
RNAcentral lists this ribosomal RNA (253 nucleotides) under uncultured bacterium. Its description in RNAcentral is "partial 16S ribosomal RNA". It matches the Rfam family "Bacterial small subunit ribosomal RNA", at positions 524 to 776 of the family's 1533-position model. The record is from RNAcentral.